GACCCGUAGCAAACAGCUCAGUAACACGUGGCCAAACUACCCUAUGGACGAGGACACCCUCGGGAAACUGAGGCUAAUCCACGAUACGGCUCCCACGCUGGAAUGCGGGGAGCCGGAAACGCUCCGGCGCCAUAGGAUGCGGCUGCGGCCGAUUAGGUAGACGGUGGGGUAACGGCCCACCGUGCCGAUAAUCGGUACGGGAUGUGAGAGCAAAUAGCCCGGAGAUGGAAUCUGAGACAAGAUUCCAGGCCCUACGGGGCGCAGCAGGCGCGAAACCUUUACACUGCACGCCAGUGCGAUAAGGGGACCCCGAGUGCGAGGGCAUACAGUCCUCGCUUUUGUACACCGUAAGGAGGUGUACGAAUAAGGGCUGGGCAAGACCGGUGCCAGCCGCCGCGGUAAUACCGGCAGCCCGAGUGAUGGCCGCUGUUAUUGGGCCUAAAGCGUCCGUAGCCGGCCGAACAAGUCUGUCGGGAAAUCCAUCCGCCUAACGGAUGGGCGUCCGGCAGAAACUGUUCGGCUUGGGGCCGGAAGAUCCGAGGGGUACGUCCGGGGUAGGAGUGAAAUCCUGUAAUCCUGGACGGACCGCCGGUGGCGAAAGCGCCUCGGAAGGACGGACCCGACGGUGAGGGACGAAAGCUGGGGUCUCGAACCGGAUUAGAUACCCGGGUAGUCCCAGCCGUAAAC
RNAcentral lists this ribosomal RNA (687 nucleotides) under uncultured euryarchaeote. RNAcentral describes it as "bacterial SSU rRNA". It matches the Rfam family "Archaeal small subunit ribosomal RNA", at positions 73 to 758 of the family's 1478-position model. Lineage: Archaea; Methanobacteriati; Methanobacteriota. The record is from RNAcentral.